AGUGAACGCUGGCGGCAGGCCUAACACAUGCAAGUCGAACGGCAGCACAGUAAGAGUUUGCUCUUACGGGUGGCGAGUGGCGGACGGGUGAGGAAUAUAUCGGAAUCUACUCUUUCGUGGGGGUUAACGCAGGGAAAGUUAUGCUAACACAGCAUACGACCCACGGGUGAAAGCAGGGGAUCUUUUGACCUUUUGCGAUUGAAUGAGCCGAUGUCGGAUUAGCUGGUUGGCGGGGUAAAGGCCCACCAAGGCGGCGAUCCGUAGCUGGUCUGAGAGGACGGUCACCCACACGGGAGGAGAGGCGGAGACGCGACUCCUGGGGGGAGAAGCAGUGGGGAAUAUUAGGCAAGGGAGGAGAGCGUGAUACAGGAAUACGGCGUAAGGGAUGAUGGCGUACGGGUUGGGAAGCCCUUAUGGUGGGAGAGAAGAGCAGCAGGUUUAUACGCGGCGAUAAUGACGGUACCGGGAGAAUAAGCACCGGCUAACUUCGUG
RNAcentral lists this ribosomal RNA (492 nucleotides) under uncultured bacterium. RNAcentral's name for it is "partial 16S ribosomal RNA". It matches the Rfam family "Bacterial small subunit ribosomal RNA", at positions 30 to 507 of the family's 1533-position model. The record is from RNAcentral.